AGAGUUUGAUCAUGGCUCAGAGCGAACGCUGGCGGCAGGCCUAACACAUGCAAGUCGAACGGUAAGGCCCUUCGGGGUACACGAGUGGCGAACGGGUGAGUAACACGUGGGUGAUCUGCCCUGCACUUCGGGAUAAGCUUGGGAAACUGGGGUCUAAUACCGGAUAGGACCACGGUCUGCAUGGAUUGUGGUGGAAAGCUUUUGCGGUGUGGGAUGGGCCCGCGGCCUAUCAGCUUGUUGGUGGGGUGAUGGCCUACCAAGGCGACGACGGGUAGCCGGCCUGAGAGGGUGUCCGGCCACACUGGGACUGAGAUACGGCCCAGACUCCUACGGGAGGCAGCAGUGGGGAAUAUUGCACAAUGGGCGCAAGCCUGAUGCAGCGACGCCGCGUGGGGGAUGACGGCCUUCGGGUUGUAAACCUCUUUCAGCAGGGACGAAGGGUGACUGACGGUACCUGUAGAAGAAGCACCGGCCAACUACGUG
RNAcentral lists this ribosomal RNA (483 nucleotides) under uncultured bacterium. RNAcentral describes it as "bacterial SSU rRNA". It matches the Rfam family "Bacterial small subunit ribosomal RNA", at positions 8 to 507 of the family's 1533-position model. The record is from RNAcentral.